AGUACAAUUGCUGGGUUAUAUGGUAAACACAAAAGUUUAGUUUUAUGGGAAACUGCCAUACUCUUUUCCAGAAUGGGUGUACCAUUUUACAAUUGAAUAAGCAGU
This 105-nucleotide microRNA precursor is filed under the name Marmota monax (woodchuck). The record is from RNAcentral. Lineage: Eukaryota; Metazoa; Chordata; Mammalia; Rodentia; Sciuridae.